GGAUGUGAGGGUGAUCUGGCUGUGACAUGAGUUGCCCAUUGAUCGCCAGUGUUGAUCCAACUGAUAUGGCUAUUUAGGUGGGUAUCCCCUUUCUCCCUAAUGCUCUAUGUGCAUCCCUGGCAAAGCUGAGCACCUGACUGAAGAGGACAACUAACCCUCAACCCCCACCCCAAAUGAGGAGGACCGUCCUUGGUCGAGGGUAUAGGAAUAGCUGCGUGCCUCUACUAGAAUCUGGAAACAAGCUCUCAAACAGUAAACCAAGUUAGUGGGAUUUCCUAACACCCAUGGUUUGAUUGCAGAAAAAGUAAAUCAUUUCCUGGAUUCUGUUGGUU
Unclassified non-coding RNA from Cavia porcellus (domestic guinea pig), 332 nucleotides. Its record names the gene 7SK. It matches the Rfam family "7SK RNA". From Rfam's summary of the family: 7SK was discovered as an abundant small nuclear RNA in the mid-70s but a possible function has only recently been suggested. Lineage: Eukaryota; Metazoa; Chordata; Mammalia; Rodentia; Caviidae. The record is from Ensembl.